AUGAACGCUAGCGGCAGGCUUAAUACAUGCAAGUCGAGGGGCAGCAGGGUGUAGCAAUACAUCGCUGGCGACCGGCAAACGGGUGCGGAACACGUACACAACUUUCCUUUAAGUGGGGAUAGCCCAGAGAAAUUUGGAUUAAUACCCCGUAAUAUUAUGAAGUGGCAUCAUUUUAUAAUUAUAGCUCCGGCGCUUGAAGAUGGGUGUGCGGCUGAUUAGGUAGUUGGCGGGGUAACGGCCCACCAAGCCUACGAUCAGUAACUGGUGUGAGAGCACGACCAGUCACACGGGCACUGAGACACGGGCCCGACUCCUACGGGAGGCAGCAGUAAGGAAUAUUGGUCAAUGGACGCAAGUCUGAACCAGCCAUGCCGCGUGAAGGAUGAAGGGUCCUCUGGAUUUAGUAAACUUUCUUUUAUUUGGGAAGAAAUCCAUAUUUUCUAAUGUGGUUGACGGUACCAGAUGAAUAAGCACCGGCUAACUCCGUGCCAGCAGCCGCGGUAAC
This 505-nucleotide ribosomal RNA is filed under the name uncultured bacterium. Its description in RNAcentral is "bacterial SSU rRNA". It matches the Rfam family "Bacterial small subunit ribosomal RNA", at positions 29 to 524 of the family's 1533-position model. The record is from RNAcentral.